AUUGAACGCUGGCGGCAUGCCUUACACAUGCAAGUCGAACGGUAACAGGUCUUCGGAUGCUGACGAGUGGCGAACGGGUGAGUAAUACAUCGGAACGUGCCCGACCGUGGGGGAUAACUACUCGAAAGAGUAGCUAAUACCGCAUACGAUCUACGGAUGAAAGCGGGGGAUCUUCGGACCUCGUGCGGACGGAGCGGCCGAUGGCAGAUUAGGUAGUUGGUGGGAUAAAAGCUUACCAAGCCGACGAUCUGUAGCUGGUCUGAGAGGACGACCAACCACACUGGGACUGAGACACGGCCCAGACUCCUACGGGAGGCAGCAGUGGGGAAUUUUGGACAAUGGGCGAAAGCCUGAUCCAGCAAUGCCGCGUGCAGGAUGAAGGCCUUCGGGUUGUAAACUGCUUUUGUACGGAACGAAAAGACUCCUUCUAAUACAGGGGGUCCAUGACGGUACCGUAAGAAUAAGCACCGGCUAACUACGUGCCAGCCGCCGCAGUAA
RNAcentral lists this ribosomal RNA (498 nucleotides) under uncultured bacterium. RNAcentral describes it as "partial 16S ribosomal RNA". It matches the Rfam family "Bacterial small subunit ribosomal RNA", at positions 30 to 523 of the family's 1533-position model. The record is from RNAcentral.